Melospiza melodia melodia is the source of this 438-nucleotide long non-coding RNA. RefSeq lists it as uncharacterized. The record is from RefSeq and is a predicted model, not a curated record. The transcript is spliced from 3 exons. NCBI's taxonomy places the organism in Eukaryota, Metazoa, Chordata, Aves, Passeriformes, Passerellidae.
GGGAGGAAACCCGAGCAUGCAGGGUUAUCCACAGGUGGAUUCUGCAGCACCAUCCUGUGAUGUGUUACUGAAGCUGAAGUAACAACUCAGUCCUCAGCUUGUACAGGCAGGAGGCCAAACUGAAACAGGAUGAAUGCAGUGCUGCUUAUUUAUCUACCUGUAAAAGGUGUGGUGAGGAUUAAUCAGUGUUUGGAUUGCCAUUUGAAGACGUGAAGCACAGCAUGCAUGGUAAACCAAUAAAACCAAACACUCCUUCUAAAACUGUUCAACAUAUGGAAAAAUAAGGUGACAAGCUGAAGAUGUUCCUAAGGAAAGCUUCACCAUGGAUAUUCAAGCAUUCUGAACCUUUGAAAUCAAUGGAAAUAGGAAAUCCUGAGCAUCUCUCACAGCUACCCUCAAUCAAGUGAAGGGCUAUUUGCAAAAAUUAGAGGUCUAAUU